This 468-nucleotide ribosomal RNA is filed under the name uncultured bacterium. RNAcentral's name for it is "partial 16S ribosomal RNA". It matches the Rfam family "Bacterial small subunit ribosomal RNA", at positions 28 to 507 of the family's 1533-position model. The record is from RNAcentral.
GACCAACUGUGCCCGCGCUUUUAACCCGCACACGUCCAACGGACCGGCCCUCCUUUUGUGGGGUCCUAAAGACGCCCACGGGUGACUAACACGUGCGUAACCUGCCCUUGACUUUGGGAAAACUUCAGGAAAUUGGGGCCAAUACCGGAUAGCCGAUCCUGCUGCAUGUUGGGGGGUGGGCAGAUUCGGCGGUUGGGUAUGGACUCGCGGCUUAUAAGCUUGUUGGUGGGGUAGUGGCUUACCAAGGCUUUGACGGGUAGCCGGCCUGAGAGGGUGACCGGCCACAUUGGGACUGAGAUACGGCCCAAACUCCUACGGGAGGCAGCAGUGGGGAAUAUUGCACAAUGGGCGGAAGCCUGAUGCAGCAACGCCGCGUGCGGGAUGACGGCCUUCGGGUUGUAAACCGCUUUCGCCUGUGACGAAGCGUGAGUGACGGUAAUGGGUAAAGAAGCACCGGCUAACUACGUG